This 582-nucleotide ribosomal RNA is filed under the name uncultured bacterium. RNAcentral's name for it is "bacterial SSU rRNA". It matches the Rfam family "Bacterial small subunit ribosomal RNA", at positions 102 to 694 of the family's 1533-position model. The record is from RNAcentral.
ACGGCGUAGUAAUGGAUCGGAACGUACCCUUCGGACGGGGAUAGCUACGGGAAACUGUAGGUAAUACCCGAUAACAUCUGCGGAUCAAUGGUGAGAUUCCGCCGGAGGAGCGGCUGAUUUGAUAUUAGCUAGUUGGUGGGGUAAAGGCCUACCAAGGCGAUGAUGUCUAGGGGGUGUGAGAGCAUGGCCCCCACGACCGGAACUGAGAUACUGUCCGGACACCUACGGGUGGCUGCAGUCGAGAAUCUUCCGCAAUGGACGAAAGUCUGACGGAGCGACGCCGCGUGCGGGAUGAAGGCCCUUGGGUUGUAAACCGCUGUCAGAGGGGAUGAAAUCUUCGGAGGUACUCCUCCGAAGUUGACAGAGCCUCAAAGGAAGCACGGGCUAAGUACGUGCCAGCAGCCGCGGUAACACGUACUGUGCGAACGUUAUUCGGAAUCACUGGGCUUAAAGGGUGCGUAGGCUGCGAUGCAAGUCAGGUGUGAAAUGCCGGAGCUCAACUGCGGCAUUGCGCUUGAAACUGUGUUGCUUGAGUAUUUCAGGGGUGUGGGGAACUGCCAGUGGAGCGGUGAAAUGUGUUGA